GCCGGCGUGGCGGAACUGGCAGACGCGCACGACUCAAAAUCGUGUUCCUUUCAGGAGUGUGGGUUCGAUCCCCUCCGCCGGCA
Non-coding RNA from Terrimicrobium sacchariphilum, 83 nucleotides. Lineage: Bacteria; Pseudomonadati; Verrucomicrobiota; Terrimicrobiia; Terrimicrobiales; Terrimicrobiaceae. The record is from Rfam.